RNAcentral lists this transfer RNA (97 nucleotides) under Acidobacteriota bacterium. Its description in RNAcentral is "Acidobacteria bacterium (groundwater metagenome) tRNA-Sec". It matches the Rfam family "Selenocysteine transfer RNA". Lineage: Bacteria; Pseudomonadati; Acidobacteriota. The record is from RNAcentral.
GGAAGCGCAAGUCAUCCGGUGAUGGCCUCGGUCUUCAAAACCGGCGGAUGGCAUCUUCGAUGUCAUCGGUGUGUUCGACUCACACACGCUUCCGCCA